AAAAAAAUAGUUUAAAGAGAAUUUCUAGUUUGAAACUAGAGGGUAGGUAGUCUUUUUUUUUA
RNAcentral lists this transfer RNA (62 nucleotides) under Aplidium tabarquensis. RNAcentral describes it as "transfer RNA-Ser(UCN)". Lineage: Eukaryota; Metazoa; Chordata; Ascidiacea; Aplousobranchia; Polyclinidae. The record is from RNAcentral.